GCUCAGAACGAACGCUGGCGGCAGGCCUAACACAUGCAAGUCGAGCGCCCCGCAAGGGGAGCGGCGGACGGGUGAGUAACACGUGGGAACGUACCCUUUGCUACGGAAUAGUCUCGGGAAACUGGGGGUAAUACCGUAUGUGCCCUUCGGGGGAAAGAUUUAUCGGCAAAGGAUCGGCCCGCGUUGGAUUAGGUAGUUGGUGGGGUAAUGGCCUACCAAGCCGACGAUCCAUAGCUGGUUUGAGAGGAUGAUCAGCCACACUGGGACUGAGACACGGCCCAGACUCCUACGGGAGGCAGCAGUGGGGAAUCUUAGACAAUGGGCGCAAGCCUGAUCUAGCCAUGCCGCGUGAGCGAUGAAGGCCUUAGGGUUGUAAAGCUCUUUCAGUGGGGAAGAUAAUGACUGUACCCACAGAAGAAGCCCCGGCUAACUCCGUG
RNAcentral lists this ribosomal RNA (437 nucleotides) under uncultured bacterium. Its description in RNAcentral is "bacterial SSU rRNA". It matches the Rfam family "Bacterial small subunit ribosomal RNA", at positions 22 to 507 of the family's 1533-position model. The record is from RNAcentral.